UACGGAGGAUCCGAGCGUUAUCCGGAUUUAUUGGGUUUAAAGGGUGCGCAGGCGGGAUGUUAAGUCGGCGGUGAAAUUUUGCGGCUCAACCGUAAAAGUGCCUUCGAAACUGGCCUUCUUGAGUAUGGAUGAAGUAGGCGGAAUUUGUGGUGUAGCGGUGAAAUGCUUAGAUAUCACGAGGAACUCCGAUUGCGCAGGCAGCUUACUAAACCAUAACUGACGCUCAUGCACGAAGGCGUGGGGAUCAAACAGGAUUAGAUACCCUGGUAGUCCACGCAGUAAACGAUGAUUACUAGUUGUUUGCGAUACACAGUAAGCGACUGAGCGAAAGCAUUAAGUAAUCCACCUGGGGAGUACGUUCGCAAGAAUGAA
RNAcentral lists this ribosomal RNA (372 nucleotides) under uncultured bacterium. Its description in RNAcentral is "bacterial SSU rRNA". It matches the Rfam family "Bacterial small subunit ribosomal RNA", at positions 524 to 898 of the family's 1533-position model. The record is from RNAcentral.